AAUCAACGCUGGCGGCGUGCCUCAGACAUGCAAGUCGAACGAGAACCUCCCUUCGGGGAGGGACAGUGGCGCACGGGUGAGUAACACGUGGGUAAUUUACCUUUGGGUGGGGGACAACAGCCGGAAACGGCUGCUAAUACCGCAUAAUGCAGCGGCUCGACAUCGAGACAGUUGUUAAAGCGGGGGAUCGCAAGACCUCGCGCCUGAAGAGAAGCCUGCGGCGGAUUAGCAGUUGGUAGGGUAAUGGCCUACCAAGGCGACGAUCUGUAACCGGCCUGAGAGGGCGGUCGGUCACACUGACACUGACAUACGGGUCAGACUCCUACGGGAGGCAGCAGUCGGGAAUUUUGGGCAAUGGGCGAAAGCCUGACCCAGCAACGCCGCGUGAAGGAUGAAGCUUUUCGGAGUGUAAACUUCAUAAGAAUGGGAA
This 430-nucleotide ribosomal RNA is filed under the name uncultured bacterium. Its description in RNAcentral is "bacterial SSU rRNA". It matches the Rfam family "Bacterial small subunit ribosomal RNA", at positions 32 to 446 of the family's 1533-position model. The record is from RNAcentral.